Molecule: ribosomal RNA, 656 nt
Filed under: uncultured Actinomycetes bacterium
Lineage: Bacteria; Bacillati; Actinomycetota; Actinomycetes
Description: bacterial SSU rRNA
Rfam family: Bacterial small subunit ribosomal RNA
Source: RNAcentral
CGCGGCCUAUCAGCUUGUUGGUGGGGUGAUGGCCUACCAAGGCGUCGACGGGUAGCCGGCCUGAGAGGGCGACCGGCCACACUGGGACUGAGACACGGCCCAGACUCCUGCGGGAGGCAGCAGUGGGGAAUAUUGCGCAAUGGGCGGAAGCCUGACACAGCGACGCCGCGUGAGGGAUGACGGCCUUCGGGUUGUAAACCUCUUUCAGCACAGACCAAGGCUUAGUUUCUGCUGGGUUGAGUGUAUGUGCAGAAGAAGCACCGGCUAACUACGUGCCAGCAGCCGCGGUAAUACGUAGGGUGCGAGCGUUGUCCGGAUUUAUUGGGCGUAAAGGGCUCGUAGGCGGUUUGUCGCGUCGGAAGUGAAAGCCCACUGCUUAACGGUGGGUCUGCUUUCGGUACGGGCAGACUGGAGUGUGGCAGGGGAGACUGGAAUUCCUGGUGUAGCGGUGGAAUGCGCAGAUAUCAGGAGGAACACCGGUGGCGAAGGCGGGUCUCUGGGCCAUUACUGACGCUGAGGAGCGAAAGCGUGGGGAGCGAACAGGAUUAGAUACCCUGGUAGUCCACGCUGUAAACGUUGGGCGCUAGGUGUGGGGACUGUUUCCACGGUUUCCGUGCCGUAGCUAACGCAUUAAGCGCCCCGCCUGGGGAGUACGG